This 639-nucleotide unclassified non-coding RNA is filed under the name Hevea brasiliensis (rubber tree). Lineage: Eukaryota; Viridiplantae; Streptophyta; Magnoliopsida; Malpighiales; Euphorbiaceae. The record is from RNAcentral.
GCAACAAUGGCGAAGAUCCCGUCCUCCGCCGCCGUACUCAUCCUCGUCGCCGCCGUCGCCCUCCUCCUCCCAUCGCUGAUCGACGCUCGCCACGUCACGGCGGCGCAGAGCCGGUUCAUCGUGCGGGGCCGUGUCUAUUGUGACACGUGUCUCGCCGGAUUCGAGACUCCCGCCUCUACAUACCUCGCCGGUGCAAAGGUGAGGGUGGAGUGCCGAUUGAGGGCGAAUGGCGCCAAGACCUGCAGCUUCGAUGGUGAGACAGACGGUACCGGAACCUACAACAUUCCGGUGAGGGGUGAGCACGAGUUUGAGAUGUGUGAGUCCGUGCUGGUGAGCAGCCCGGACAGCAGGUGCUCGGCAGCGGUACAAAACUUGGACAGGGCCCCGGUUUUCCUCACCAGCAACAAUGGGAUUGCUUCGGAUGUGAGGUUUGCUAACUCUCUGGGAUUCAAGAGGGAUGCUCAGCUGGCGGCGUGCACUGAGGUGAUGAAGCAGUAUGAGCUGGAGGUGUAGAAUUGUUGUUCAGUAUGUGUUUGAUGUGUUAUUAGCGAUGUUGAGAUUGUUGGGUAUGUGGUCACUUUGUGUGGCGGGUAAUUGCAAUGACAUUAGAUUUAUCUGAACUAAGUUUGAGUGAUUGGU